GUCGGUUACGGUGACAUGACGCCGCAAACAUGGCCUGGUAAGAUCAUCGGUGGCGCAUGCGCGAUAUGCGGCGUCCUCAUCGUGGCCCUGCCUAUUUCGGUCAUAGGCAGCAAC
Nematostella vectensis (starlet sea anemone) is the source of this 114-nucleotide non-coding RNA. The record is from Rfam. Lineage: Eukaryota; Metazoa; Cnidaria; Anthozoa; Actiniaria; Edwardsiidae.